This 77-nucleotide transfer RNA is filed under the name Bacillota bacterium. RNAcentral's name for it is "Firmicutes bacterium (gut metagenome) tRNA-Val". It matches the Rfam family "tRNA". From Rfam's summary of the family: Transfer RNA (tRNA) molecules are approximately 80 nucleotides in length. RNAcentral also lists the same sequence under 3 other names. The record is from RNAcentral. Lineage: Bacteria; Bacillati; Bacillota.
GGGAUUAUAGCUCAGCAGGCUAGAGCGUUACGUUGACAUCGUAAAGGUCGUUGGUUCGAGCCCAAUUAAUCCCACCA